AAGGAAAGAUCAGAAUUGGAUACGUGGUUUCUGUUUUUACAAAGGCUCUUAGCAGCUUCAGCUUUGGGAACCCAAUCUCGUUGUCCCUUCAAACUAAAGCAUAACAAAACCUAGGAAGGUAAAUUGAAUACACACAGGCAUGAACACACAAAUGUACACAUGCGCACACACAUUUUCCUAAGGCAAGCAGUGAGUUUCAAAGUCAAAUAUUAGCAAUUAAAAUCUAAGUAAUCAAACAUUAUGUUGGGCAUUCAUGUCUUAAUGCCAGGAAAUUAAAAUUGAAUAAUUUUCAAACAAAUAGUCACUAUUCAGUAGGUACAGAAAGUAACCUUUCCUCUAUCAAAAAUGUUAAUGGAUGUGUCUGUUAGCUUGAUAAUAUCAAAAUAUGGAAAUACACUUUUGGAGGAAAUGGGUCUUUGGGAGCUUGUCUAAUUGGAAUUUUUCAAAAUCUAUAAACAAAGUAAGUUCCAAGGUCAUUAAAAAAUAAAUAGGGGCAUUAAAAACAGGGAAAAGUAGGAAUCUGUGGUUAAUGUUGACCACAUGGCACAGACACUACUUUGUCAAUAUCUUUUCUAGAUUCCUACCCAAUCGGGGCUAACUUUUACUGUCCUGUAGCAAUAUUAGGAGAGUAAUGCUCUGAUUCAAACUUGCUAGUCUUACCAGGUGAGUGAGCAGGGAGCAGGUGAAGAAGAAAGGAUAGAGCAUUUCUGAUGGUUAUUUGCAAAGCUGAAGAGUUUAACAGUUCUGUGUCAUUUGCUAACCGCAGAGACCACAGUUGUGGGGAAAAAAAAAGUCCCACUUAAGAAGAGCAGUUUCCCCAGGUGGUUACUUGAACUGUGGAUGUCCUAAGUCCUUUUUUUCUAUCAAUGCUUUGUUUCUUUGCGAGGUAGGAGGUAAGGGUAGAUGGAUGGUUAAUUUAUCUUAGAAAGUCCCAAGUACUUAUGAAACAAAACUUAGUCUUAAAAUAACAUAGGAUCAUACACACACACACACACACACACACACACACAUAUAUAUAUAUAUAUAUGCAAACCUUUUCAUUAGUGCCCAUGGGUUUUGCUAUAAGUCCACAGGUCCUGAAGUGCCCAUUGACCUCAAGUUACUCUCAUAACAGCCACAGGGAAGUGAAAGAUAAGACUCCGAGCUCUAUAUCUCUGGACUUUGAGUUAGGUUAGUUGACAUUACCCAGCCUAUACAUUUUUUAGUGGAAAAAAAAUGUAUGUAGGGGAAAAGAAUCACCAAAGGUUAGUCAUUCCAUGGGAAUCUUCCAUCUGGCUCCAUUUUUAGCAGCAGUCAUUUUUACAUGGCAUAGACCUUGUCCUUGUUAGAUAAGUUUGCCUGUCAUUUAUACAGUCUGUGAGCUUGAAUGUAUACAGAUCUAGAUACUUAUUUCAACAUAUACCCUCAGAGUUGACUUUACAUCCACGUCCAUUGCCUAGAGGUAUCUAGACUGUGUACACACAAGUGUGUACAGACGUGCUUAAUACAUACAUAAAUUGUAAUCUGUUACAAUAAAUAAAUUUAAAAUCAUCAUGCAACAUGUAUGUGAUAUUUUGACAAUGUACCUUGUCUUUGUUGUUUCUUGUAAUGCUGAAAACCAAAGUGUGGAGAUGUAAGCGAAGGAUCCCCCCCAUCUUCAUCCAUCACGAUACUUGAAAUCACUUUUAGUUGGGUGCAGCCACGACAAACAACUUUAGGUGGAAUGUUGGAUAUUAUUUCACUGUCUGUGUUAGAUGUUUAAUGACUUUGGUUGAAUAGCUUUAUUCUGGAUCUCUCAUAACUAAAGCGAAAUCCAAAGACCUUAAAAAGAACAAAAAAGGGGGGAACUGGGGGUGAUGUGGAAUAAAGUACAAACCAAUGGCAGAAAGUGGGGUCUGGUUCCAGGGUUGAAAGAACAAAGGUGUGGUCUUGUGGAGGUUGUGUUAGCUAGUUGGGUGUGUGUGUGUGUGUGAUGAUUUUUCCUCCAUGUUUGUCACAUCAAAGUGGUCUUUAAUGUGAUAAAGCUUUAGACGUUAUACUUUGCUGCUUUAUUUUAUUUAGACUUUAGAAUGAAAUGAUCCAUUUUUGUCCACCAAAUAAAAAAAGAAAGAAAGAAAAAGAAAAAGAAGACCACCUCUCCCCACCCCUCAGCUGUAUUUUAACGUUUCUCUUUCAGUUGUGACCCAACGAGCUGUUAAUAUAAUUAAUUUAUUUUAAUUAGUUUUUGUAUGCUAGCAUGUAGGAUUCGGGUAAUUAUUUAAUUUUCCUUUUUUAGUUUGAUUUUACUCCUUGUUCUUAUUUAUCAAAAUCUGUAGCAGUGGUGCAUCUGAGAUGCAAAACCCUGGCUGCUAUACAGCUCUAGUGUAGCGUGCUUCAUAAAGCGGUGAACUUCUGUUACAGGGAAGAAACAUAGGUUACAAUGAAAACGAAAAACAAUCUGGGUGUAUUUCCCGUCUUGGAUUAAUUUAUAAAAUGGUUUAAUGGUUAUUAAAUUAUUUAAUUUAAGUUCACAGCCCCACUUGGUACCAGGCGAAUUUCACCUCUUAAUUACCGGGGCCCUCAGAGCCUUUCUAUUGUAACUUAUUUAUUUAACUUAUUCAGCAUCUGCGACGGAUGCGCUGUAUAGUUUGCGUUUAUUAUUUAAAACAACAGAGAGCACUGCGGUUUGUUUGCUGUCAGAACAACAGAGCAGAUUUGUGGACAAGCAGUGACUGAUCAGCCUGAACCUGCUUCAGAACUCAAGCUGAGAUCCAACGUCAUCAGCCCGGAUUUUCGGGGCUUCUAUAAAGGAAACUGG
This 2776-nucleotide long non-coding RNA is filed under the name Mus musculus (house mouse). RNAcentral's name for it is "long non-coding RNA chr18:64391133-64393909". The record is from RNAcentral. Lineage: Eukaryota; Metazoa; Chordata; Mammalia; Rodentia; Muridae.